RNAcentral lists this ribosomal RNA (325 nucleotides) under uncultured bacterium. RNAcentral describes it as "bacterial SSU rRNA". It matches the Rfam family "Bacterial small subunit ribosomal RNA", at positions 28 to 334 of the family's 1533-position model. The record is from RNAcentral.
GAUGAACGCUGGCGGCGUGCUUAACACAUGCAAGUCGAACGAGAAUCAACGGAUUGAGGAUUCGUCCAAAUGAAGUUGAGGAAAGUGGCGGACGGGUGAGUAACGCGUGAGGAACCUGCCUCGGAGUGGGGAAUAACAGUUGGAAACAGCUGCUAAUACCGCAUAAGCCCACGGCUCGGCAUCGAGCAGAGGGAAAAGGAGUGAUCCGCUUUGAGAUGGCCUCGCGUCCGAUUAGCUAGUUGGUGAGGUAACGGCCCACCAAGGCGACGAUCGGUAGCCGGACUGAGAGGUUGAACGGCCACAUUGGGACUGAGACACGGCCCAG